AGACAGGUAGUCAUGGCCGUACCCGUGAGGUGCGCGGGAGCCCACAGGUAACCGAACCGAACCGAACGGCCCCCGGGACGGCGCCUUCCUUCCCCGCUGCUCGGUCACCUCCUCCGGCCGAAAGCUCCGGACGCACCAGCGGACCCUUCUGCGGCCCUUACCCGCCUCUGCUGCACUCUGCCCCGGCCUGGGCUCGGCGCGUGUCCCGGUGGAAGACAUGGAGGAGCCGGAGCUUCCCAGAGAGCUGCUGGAGAGCGUCCGGGAGGCGGUGGGUCGGGGGGUGAAGCUGAGCCUGAGGAGGAAGGUCCAACUGGAGGUCAAAGGUGACAAAGUGGAGAACCGAGUACUGGCGUUGGCGUCCCAUCGGGCGUAUCUGCUGACGACUCGACUCCCAUCCAAGGU
Long non-coding RNA from Sphaeramia orbicularis (orbiculate cardinalfish), 402 nucleotides. RefSeq lists it as uncharacterized. The transcript has 3 exons. NCBI's taxonomy places the organism in Eukaryota, Metazoa, Chordata, Actinopteri, Kurtiformes, Apogonidae. The record is from RefSeq and is a predicted model, not a curated record.